This 234-nucleotide unclassified non-coding RNA is filed under the name Glomus sp. RNAcentral describes it as "partial contains 5.8S ribosomal RNA and internal transcribed spacer 2". Lineage: Eukaryota; Fungi; Glomeromycota; Glomeromycetes; Glomerales; Glomeraceae. The record is from RNAcentral.
GUGAAUCAUCGAAUUUUUGAAGCAAAUUUCACUUUCUUGUAUUCCGGAAAGUAUGCCUGUUUGAGGGUUCGUUAAAUUAAAAUCGGGUUUGUUUCUGCCUUUUGUGGUUACGCGUCGGAAUUGAGUUGUCUUACCUUUGGUUAAGUGACUUAAAAUUUUGCCUGAUUUUUGAACGUAUUUAAAUUUUUUACGUAAGUUUUAACAAACGAAAAAUUUAUUAAGUUCGGCCAUCCU